Molecule: ribosomal RNA, 446 nt
Filed under: uncultured bacterium
Lineage: Bacteria
Description: bacterial SSU rRNA
Rfam family: Bacterial small subunit ribosomal RNA
Source: RNAcentral
UGCCAGACUCCUACGGGAGGCAGCAGUGGGGAAUAUUGGGCAAUGGGGGAAACCCUGACCCAGCGACGCCGCGUGAGGGAAGAAGGUUUUCGGAUUGUAAACCUCUGUCCUUGGUGACGAUAAUGACGGUAGCCAAGGAGGAAGCCACGGCUAAAUACGUGCCAGCAGCCGCGGUAAUACGUAUGGUGCAAGCGUUAUCCGGAUUUACUGGGUGUAAAGGGAGCGCAGGCGGCGCGUUAAGCCUGGUGUGAAAGCCCGCGGCCCAACCGCGGGACUGCAUUGGGAACUGGCGCGCUGGAGUGCCGGAGGGGUAGGCGGAAUUCCUAGUGUAGCGGUGAAAUGCGUAGAUAUUAGGAGGAACACCAGUGGCGAAGGCGGCCUACUGGACGGUGACUGACGCUGAGGCUCGAAAGCGUGGGGAGCAAACAGGAUUAGAUACCCCAGUA